CAGUAGGGAAUCUUCGGCAAUGGGGGCAACCCUGACCGAGCAACGCCGCGUGAGUGAAGAAGGUUUUCGGAUCGUAAAGCUCUGUUGUAAGAGAAGAACGUGUGUGAGAGUGGAAAGUUCACACAGUGACGGUAACUUACCAGAAAGGGACGGCUAACUACGNGCCAG
RNAcentral lists this ribosomal RNA (168 nucleotides) under uncultured bacterium. RNAcentral describes it as "partial 16S rRNA". It matches the Rfam family "Bacterial small subunit ribosomal RNA", at positions 352 to 511 of the family's 1533-position model. The record is from RNAcentral.